RNAcentral lists this ribosomal RNA (214 nucleotides) under uncultured bacterium. RNAcentral's name for it is "partial 16S ribosomal RNA". It matches the Rfam family "Bacterial small subunit ribosomal RNA", at positions 1287 to 1500 of the family's 1533-position model. The record is from RNAcentral.
CCCAGUUCAGAUUGCAGUCUGCAACUCGACUGCAUGAAGUCGGAAUCGCUAGUAAUCGCGGAUCAGCAUGCCGCGGUGAAUACGUUCCCGGGCCUUGUACACACCGCCCGUCACACCAUGAGAGUCGGGAACACCCGAAGUCCGUAGCCUAACCGCAAGGGGGGCGCGGCCGAAGGUGGGUUCGAUAAUUGGGGUGAAGUCGUAACAAGGUAAC